UACGUAGGGGGCUAGCGUUGUCCGGAAUCAUUGGGCGUAAAGAGCGUGUAGGCGGCCCGGUAAGUCCGCUGUGAAAGUCGGGGGCUCAACCCUCGAAUGCCGGUGGAUACUGUCGGGCUAGAGUGCGGAAGAGGCGAGUGGAAUUCCUGGUGUAGCGGUGAAAUGCGCAGAUAUCAGGAGGAACACCGAUUGCGAAGGCAGCUCGCUGGGACGUUACUGACGCUGGAGACGCGAAAGCGUGGGGAGCAAACAGG
This 254-nucleotide ribosomal RNA is filed under the name uncultured bacterium. Its description in RNAcentral is "partial 16S ribosomal RNA". It matches the Rfam family "Bacterial small subunit ribosomal RNA", at positions 524 to 776 of the family's 1533-position model. The record is from RNAcentral.